Molecule: transfer RNA, 67 nt
Filed under: Podarcis lilfordi (Lilford's wall lizard)
Lineage: Eukaryota; Metazoa; Chordata; Lepidosauria; Squamata; Lacertidae
Description: tRNA.Gly
Rfam family: tRNA (bases 3-60)
About the family: Transfer RNA (tRNA) molecules are approximately 80 nucleotides in length. Their secondary structure includes four short double-helical elements and three loops (D, anti-codon, and T loops). Further hydrogen bonds mediate the characteristic L-shaped molecular structure. tRNAs have two regions of fundamental functional importance: the anti-codon, which is responsible for specific mRNA codon recognition, and the 3' end, to which the tRNAs corresponding amino acid is attached (by aminoacyl-tRNA synthetases). tRNAs cope with the degeneracy of the genetic code in two manners: having more than one tRNA (with a specific anti-codon) for a particular amino acid; and 'wobble' base-pairing, i.e. permitting non-standard base-pairing at the 3rd anti-codon position.
Source: RNAcentral
GAUAUCUCAGUUGGUAGAGCAUGAGACUCCCAAUCUCAGGGUUGUGGGUUCAAGCCCCACAUUGGCA